GGGGAGAUCGCGGUCUAGGUCCAUUGGAACGUGGCGUCAUAGAGGGUGAGAACCCCGUAUGUGACCGUAGCUCGACCCCAUGUGAAGUCUCUUCAACGAGUCGAGUUGUUUGGGAAUGCAGCUCAAAAUGGGUGGUAAAUUUCAUCUAAAGCUAAAUAUUGGCUGGAGACCGAUAGCGCACAAGUAGAGUGAUCGAAAGAUGAAAAGCACUUUGGAAAGAGAGUCAAAAAGUACGUGAAAUUGUUGAAAGGGAAGCGCUUGCAACCAGACCUGCCCGUAGGUGAUCAGCCGCCGUUCUCGGUGGUGCACUCGCUCUGCGAUCAGGCCAGCAUCGGUUCGGGCGGUCGGAUAAAGGCCGAGGGAAUGUGGCUUUCUUCGGGGAGUGUUAAAGCCCUCGGUGCAAUGCGAUCAGCCCGGAUCGAGGACCGCGCUUCGGCUAGGAUGCUGGCGUAAUGGUUGUAAGCGACCCGUCUUGAAACACGGACCAAGGAGUCUAACAUCUAUGCGAGUGUUUGGGUGUCAAACCCAUGCGCGGAAUGAAAGUGAACGGAGGUGAGAACCCUCGAAGGGCGCAUCAUCGACCGAUCCAGAUGUCUUCGGAUGGAUUUGAGUAUGAGCAUAGCUGUUGGGACCCGAAAGAUGGUGAACUAUGCCUGAAUAGGGUGAAGCCAGAGGAAACUCUGGUGGAGGCUCGCAGCGGUUCUGACGUGCAAAUCGAUCGUCAAAUUUGGGUAUAGGGGCGAAAGACUAAUCGA
RNAcentral lists this ribosomal RNA (755 nucleotides) under Anzia flavotenuis. RNAcentral's name for it is "eukaryotic LSU rRNA". It matches the Rfam family "Eukaryotic large subunit ribosomal RNA", at positions 167 to 938 of the family's 3401-position model. The record is from RNAcentral. Lineage: Eukaryota; Fungi; Ascomycota; Lecanoromycetes; Lecanorales; Parmeliaceae.